RNAcentral lists this ribosomal RNA (1373 nucleotides) under uncultured bacterium. RNAcentral describes it as "bacterial SSU rRNA". It matches the Rfam family "Bacterial small subunit ribosomal RNA", at positions 28 to 1381 of the family's 1533-position model. The record is from RNAcentral.
GAUGAACGCUGGCGGCGUGCCUAAUACAUGCAAGUCGAGCGAACGGACGAGAAGCUUGCUUCUCUGAUGUUAGCGGCGGACGGGUGAGUAACACGUGGAUAACCUACCUAUAAGACUGGGAUAACUUCGGGAAACCGGAGCUAAUACCGGAUGAUAUUUUGAACCGCAUGGUUCAAAAGUGAAAGACGGUCUUGCUGUCACUUAUAGAUGGAUCCGCGCUGCAUUAGCUAGUUGGUAAGGUAACGGCUUACCAAGGCAACGAUGCAUAGCCGACCUGAGAGGGUGAUCGGCCACACUGGGACUGAGACACGGUCCAGACUCCUACGGGAGGCAGCAGUAGGGAAUCUUCCGCAAUGGGCGAAAGCCUGACGGAGCAACGCCGCGUGAGUGAUGAAGGUCUUCGGAUCGUAAAACUCUGUUAUUAGGGAAGAACAUAUGUGUAAGUAACUGUGCACAUCUUGACGGUACCUAAUCAGAAAGCCACGGCUAACUACGUGCCAGCAGCCGCGGUAAUACGUAGGUGGCAAGCGUUAUCCGGGAUUUAUUGGGCGUAAAGCGCGCGUAGGCGGUUUUUUAGUCUGAUGUGAAAGCCCACGGCUCAACCGUGGAGGGUCAUUGGAAACUGGAAAACUUGAGUGCAGAAGAGGAAAGUGGAAUUCCAUGUGUAGCGGUGAAAUGCUCAGAGAUAUGGAGGAACACCAGUGGCGAAGGCGACUUUCUGGUCUGUAACUGACGCUGAUGUGCGAAAGCGUGGGGAUCAAACAGGAUUAGAUACCCUGGUAGUCCACGCCGUAAACGAUGAGUGCUAAGUGUUAGGGGGUUUCCGCCCCUUAGUGCUGCAGCUAACGCAUUAAGCACUCCGCCUGGGGAGUACGACCGCAAGGUUGAAACUCAAAGGAAUUGACGGGGACCCGCACAAGCGGUGGAGCAUGUGGUUUAAUUCGAAGCAACGCGAAGAACCUUACCAAAUCUUGACAUCCUUUGACAACUCUAGAGAUAGAGCCUUCCCCUUCGGGGGACAAAGUGACAGGUGGUGCAUGGUUGUCGUCAGCUCGUGUCGUGAGAUGUUGGGUUAAGUCCCGCAACGAGCGCAACCCUUAAGCUUAGUUGCCAUCAUUAAGUUGGGCACUCUAAGUUGACUGCCGGUGACAAACCGGAGGAAGGUGGGGAUGACGUCAAAUCAUCAUGCCCCUUAUGAUUUGGGCUACACACGUGCUACAAUGGACAAUACAAAGGGCAGCGAAACCGCGAGGUCAAGCAAAUCCCAUAAAGUUGUUCUCAGUUCGGAUUGUAGUCUGCAACUCGACUACAUGAAGCUGGAAUCGCUAGUAAUCGUAGAUCAGCAUGCUACGGUGAAUACGUUCCCNGGGUCU